Molecule: ribosomal RNA, 301 nt
Filed under: uncultured bacterium
Lineage: Bacteria
Description: partial 16S ribosomal RNA
Rfam family: Bacterial small subunit ribosomal RNA
Source: RNAcentral
CAGUAGCCACGGGAAUACGAAGGGGGCUAGCGUUGCUCGGAAUGACUGGGCGUAAAGGGCGCGUAGGCGGCGGCCAAAGUCAGGCGUGAAAUUCCUGGGCUCAACCUGGGGGCUGCGCUUGAUACUUGGUUGCUUGAGUGGGGAAGAGGGUCGUGGAAUUCCCAGUGUAGAGGUGAAAUUCGUAGAUAUUGGGAAGAACACCGGUGGCGAAGGCGGCGACCUGGUCCUUGACUGACGCUGAGGCGCGAAAGCGUGGGGAGCAAACAGGAUUAGAUACCCCCGUAGUCCCUGUCUCUUAUAC